This is a long non-coding RNA of Papaver somniferum (opium poppy), 2404 nucleotides long. RefSeq lists it as uncharacterized. NCBI's taxonomy places the organism in Eukaryota, Viridiplantae, Streptophyta, Magnoliopsida, Ranunculales, Papaveraceae. The transcript is spliced from 6 exons. The record is from RefSeq and is a predicted model, not a curated record.
UCUAUUAUUUCUCCUCUGUCGGAACCACCAAACAGAAAAACUCUUUUCUUCUCAUGAACCUUCUUCAUCUCUCCUAAUCGAUCUUCUCAUGAACCUAAAGAUCGGAUAAUUUUUAUCAGAGAUGAUGAUUCUAAGCUUGAUAAAUCAACAACCCUCUUCAGUUUAAUUAUCAUCGCAAUCAGAAAUCCCUAACUUUAUCUCUCGAAGAUCAAAAGCUAUAAACCUAAUUUUUUUCAGUUUCAUACUUGUCACCACUAUCAUUAUAGUAACAUAAAACAUUAGUGAAGAGCAAAAGAAAUCAACGAAGAUGUUUUGAUUAGAUGUCACUCUUCAAUUAGGAAUUAUCGGCAAUUCUGAGUUCACUUCUUAUAUCUUUUGUGAAUUUUUUAACCCUAGUAUGCAUUUAGGCAUCACGAAUAAUUGGGGAUUUUGUUGUGUGCAGAUUUGGGUUUGAUGUUAAAGUUGUUUCUUACAAGCUCCUAAAGAGUUGAAGAAAGUCCUCUUAGUUCUGAUUUCGUCUUCAGACAGGAGUGCAGAUCAUACAAAAUGGAUAGGGGAGUUCCAUAGGAAACAGGACUUCAUUGAUGUUGUUGAGGCAAUAUUUAGGGGGGCUAUGAAAGGUAAACUGAUUGUGAGUUGCCCUCUUCCACCUGAAAGAAUACCUAGAAUCACUUAAUAAAAUGCAAAUAUUAGCUGUCAAGAUUUGAACAAAGAAAAAAAAAGAACGAGUGGUUAUUGCUAAUUCAGAAGCUUGCUCAGUUACUCACAUAUCCCACAGGUUGUAAUUUCUCUUCAUGUACUUAUUACCAUAUCUUCAAUCCUGUACCCAGUUUGUAUGAUUCUCAAGUGAGUGUACUUAAUGCAUUUCGACUUAAUCCUCACAUUCGUUGGAUACAUUUUUUUUUUGUUUUAUUAAUUUGAUGGUUUUACGGUUGUAUGUAAGAGACCCCUGUUUGAGCUAUUUAGCUUUUGUGCAUGUUUGAUUCAGCAGUUGUGUCUGGUGUAACACUAAUGCUUUUUGCUAGUGUUGUGUGGUUGAAGUUGGCACAUACAAAUUAUGGUGCGAGGGCGCUUUCCAAGUCCACUGACCAGAUCUUUUCUGCACAGGUGGACCAUACAAUACUUUCUAUUUUCAGCUGGAAAAGCACCUGAGCCAAGUUUGUGUCGAUACAACUACAAACAAAUGGAACGAAACGCUUGUUCUGAAUGUGGUGGAUUUAAACGAUUCAUUAUCUCAUCCGGCAGGGGUCUCUGAUGUUCAAGUUGAGUCUGCUAUGUGCUUAGAUCCUGAUCAUUUUGCCAACUUCUUGGUGAAAAUAUGGGCAAAGCUACUGAAUGCCUUUUGUACUGAAAACUGGACUUUGAAUUACUCUACAAAGUAUAAAUCCAACGUUAUAAAGACACCAAGUUGAUGAAGUUAUUCCCUGAAAUUGUUCGAAACAUCUCUGACCAGGACGUGCUUGCAGAAGAUAGGAUUCUUCAAUGAUUCCACAAAGGAUUUAACCCCAGGGGAAGAUGAGAAGUUGAGAUAUCACUUGCUGGAAAACUCACAAGCUUUGUUUAAAUUUCUUGCAUCCUUAGCCACUUCAUUGGUUUCAAUGUCAUUGAUUAGGUUUCCGUUGUUGCAGGCAAGGCUUUGAACUCAUUUGUUAAUUGGCUGGAGGAGGCAGGAGAUGGUGCUGACCAUGGAGGUUACUAUUGAAUCCUAGCAUCCAUCUCUCAUCUAAUGUAUUAUGCAUCUGAUUGUGGAGAGCCUCAAAUAAUAGGUUGCAAACAAGGUACUGAGUAAUAUCUAUCUUGAUUUAUUAGUUUCAUAAUAGUGAUAUUCCACUUAAAAUUAUUAAUGGUUGCCUAAGUUGUAGGAUUACUAGAAAUUUUCCCACUGAAAUAACUACAUUGCAGGCUCAAUUUUAUGAGUGUCUGAAAUCAAGGAAUUUGUAUGUAAGUCCAAAGAUAAUUAGUUCUAAAUUUUCUGAGAAUGUCCAUUUGUGGGGUAUUUUUAAUCUUUAGUGCUUGUUGUUCCAUGCUGGACUUGUAGUCUUUUGACCCUUCCAUACAUCUAGAAUUCGGAGUUUACUUUUUCUGUUACGUGCCAACUUAAGUGCCAACUGAAUCCUUUUUUGUGUAACUUUUUUUUGCUUCGGGCGCACCCUUUUGAAGUGUUAGUUCAACAGCAGGCAGUCUAUCAUUUUAUUAGUUUGCACUUAUGUUUCAGACACUUUGAACUUACUGGGGCUAGUUGCUCUUCUCUUUAAGAAACCUUGAACUUAUUAGGAUUUGUAUUUGUGUGAAUUCCAAAUUGAAAUCGUUUUUGUAUGAUUUUGAAUCCAAGUGUAAACUGAAUUCAGUUAUAAAUUGUGUAAUGAAUACAUUAACUGAUUAAUGGAAUGUCAUGUUAAAUUUA